Molecule: ribosomal RNA, 497 nt
Filed under: uncultured bacterium
Lineage: Bacteria
Description: partial 16S ribosomal RNA
Rfam family: Bacterial small subunit ribosomal RNA
Source: RNAcentral
GACGAACGCUGGCGGCGUGCCUAAUACAUGCAAGUUGAGCGAUGAAGAUUUGUUCUUGCACCAAGUUGAAGAGCAGCGAACGUGUGAGUAACGCGUGUAGAAUCUGCCUUUCAUUGGGGUACAAUCUGUGGAAACGAAUGCUAAUACCGCAUAACAACUUUAAACAUGGUGUUUAAUGUUGAAAUAUGCAAUUGCAUCAUUCACAGAUGGUUUAUCGUUGUAUUAGUUAGUUGGUGAGGUAAAGGAUCACCAAGGCGUUGAUACAUAGCCGAACUGAGAGGGUGGGCGGCCGGACUGAGAGUGAGACACGGCACAAAGGCAUACGGGAGGCAGCAGUACGGAAUCUGCGGCCAUGGACGAAAGUUUGACCGAGCAACGCCGCGUGAGUGAAGAAGGUCUUCGGAUCGUAGAACUCUGUUGGUAGGGAAGAACGCUGGUGAGAGUGGAAAGAUCAUCAAGUGACGGUAACUAGUAAGAAAGGGACGGCUAACUACGUG